RNAcentral lists this long non-coding RNA (1169 nucleotides) under Heterocephalus glaber (naked mole-rat). Its description in RNAcentral is "lncRNA (ENSHGLG00000043425.1)". Lineage: Eukaryota; Metazoa; Chordata; Mammalia; Rodentia; Bathyergidae. The record is from RNAcentral.
AUUCUAUAGUACAGACACUGUGGCACUUGUAUUUUAAGCUGUCUCAGCAUUACCUCUGUCCUGACCUAUGGGACAGAAUCAUACUUGAAAUUUUUAAUGUGUAGAAAUCAAGUAUAUAUGAUCCAUUAAUGUGAAGUGACUUUGGCACAGUCCCGAGCUAACUCAGAAAAUGUGGAAUAAAGGAGUUAUAUGUGGGGAUAGAUAAUUUUUAGAGACACAUUGGAAGCUGUUUUAGACUUUUUCUAGUCACUUUCUCAAGGGUGGAAUUUAGAAACUCUGAAUGUUGGAAUUCCCUCCUAUUAUGGAAGCUAAGGCAGACCUUGUGUAUUCCAGGCUGUCCAUGAACUCUCCAUCCUCUGGCUUGGCCUUUCUUGAAUGCUGAGAUUACAGGUAUGCACUACUAGGGCUGGCUUACGGUAUGGAGAUUUUCAAAACAAUUUCCUUUUUAAUCUAAUUUAAGAACUUGAUUAACAGUUGUAUAUUAAAGAGGAGUCUCCUAAAAUAUUAUCUUUCCUAGCUUGCUUUUUCAGUUAUUUUUUAUUAGUACAUGUUUGCAUUACAUAAUGAUUACAUUUGUUGUGUGCUGUUGGUACACGUGCCUAACAGAUCUCAAUACUUUUUUCAUCCCCUUUCCCUCCCCUUCCUUCUCCUCCCUCUAUCUCUUGAUCCCCUUACCAUUUGAAAAAGAUCUCUCUACUUCCCAUUUUUUAUCUUUUAUUUUGCUCUUUACUUUUUAGGUUUCUCUUAUAGGAUAAAUGAUGCCAGUUUUUUAAUUGACUAAUUUUGAGUCUGUAAAAUAAGUUAUCUAAGAGUAUAUACAUUUUUCCCAUUAAACUCAUAAAGCUAAUUUCAGGUAAAAAAUUUGUAUGUAUUUAAAUUUGUUUCUAGUUGCUCCCUUCCCUCCUUGUUAAAAAUUUGCCCAUAGCUUUGGUCUCAAUAGAUUACUUUGAUUCUUAUACCAAGAGGAGAAAGCGCAUUGAGGAUAUUACACUUUGUUAGACAGAUUUUGAAUUAAGGAGUCUAAGUGUGAUGAGAGGAAAGGAUGGCUUUUACCUAUUUUGAGAGUAGGAAAAAAGAUAGUGGGGAGAUAGGGAAACAUGGGAGAAUCACAGAAUUUUAGAAUAGAAAUGAGUCAGGAAGUUUAAAAGAGAUGCUCAAGUUGCACACAU